AGGUGCGAUGAUAUCAGCACUAAUGCACCGGAUCCCAUCAAAACUCUGAAGUUAAGCAUGCUCGGGAGAGAGUAGUACUAGGAUGGGUGACCUAUCUGAAGUCCUCGUCUUGAACCCC
Non-coding RNA from Gossypium raimondii (Peruvian cotton), 118 nucleotides. The record is from Rfam. Lineage: Eukaryota; Viridiplantae; Streptophyta; Magnoliopsida; Malvales; Malvaceae.